AAUAGAUACCCCGGUAGUCCACGCCCUAAACGAUGACGACUGGAUGUCGGAGGGGUCUGCCUUUCGGUGUCGUAGCUAACGCGUUAAGUUCCCCGCCUGGGGAGUACGGCCGCAAGGCUAAAGCUCAAAGGAAUUGACGGGGACCCGCACAAGCGGCGGAGCAUGCGGAUUAAUUCGAUGCAACGCGAAGAACCUUACCAAGGCUUGACAUACACCGGAAACGGCCAGAGAUGGUCGCCCCGCAAGGUCGGUGUACAGGUGGUGCAUGGUUGUCGUCAGCUCGUGUCGUGAGAUGUUGGGUUAAGUCCCGCAACGAGCGCAACCCCCGUUCUAUGUUGCCAGCACGUUAUGGUGGGAACUCAUGGGAUACUGCCGGGGUCAACUCGGAGGAAGGUGGGGAUGACGUCAAAUCAUCAUGCCCCUUAUGUCUUGGGCUUCACGCAUGCUACAAUGGCCGGUACAAAGGGCUGCAAUACCGUGAGGUGGAGCGAAUCCCAAAAAAGCCGGUCCCAGUUCGGAUUGAGGUCUGCAACUCGACCUC
RNAcentral lists this ribosomal RNA (541 nucleotides) under uncultured bacterium. Its description in RNAcentral is "bacterial SSU rRNA". It matches the Rfam family "Bacterial small subunit ribosomal RNA", at positions 777 to 1319 of the family's 1533-position model. The record is from RNAcentral.